This 543-nucleotide ribosomal RNA is filed under the name uncultured bacterium. RNAcentral describes it as "bacterial SSU rRNA". It matches the Rfam family "Bacterial small subunit ribosomal RNA", at positions 335 to 873 of the family's 1533-position model. The record is from RNAcentral.
CACCUACGGGUGGCUGCAGUGGGGAAUUUUGGACAAUGGGCGAAAGCCUGAUCCAGCCAUGCCGCGUGCAGGAUGAAGGCCUUCGGGUUGUAAACUGCUUUUGUACGGAACGAAACGGCCUUUUCUAAUAAAGAGGGCUAAUGACGGUACCGUAAGAAUAAGCACCGGCUAACUACGUGCCAGCAGCCGCGGUAAUACGUAGGGUGCAAGCGUUAAUCGGAAUUACUGGGCGUAAAGCGUGCGCAGGCGGUUAUGUAAGACAGUUGUGAAAUCCCCGGGCUCAACCUGGGAACUGCAUCUGUGACUGCAUAGCUAGAGUACGGUAGAGGGGGAUGGAAUUCCGCGUGUAGCAGUGAAAUGCGUAGAUAUGCGGAGGAACACCGAUGGCGAAGGCAAUCCCCUGGACCUGUACUGACGCUCAUGCACGAAAGCGUGGGGAGCAAACAGGAUUAGAUACCCUGGUAGUCCACGCCCUAAACGAUGUCAACUGGUUGUUGGGUCUUCACUGACUCAGUAACGAAGCUAACGCGUGAAGUGACCGCC